This 1437-nucleotide ribosomal RNA is filed under the name bacterium TLCL5. RNAcentral's name for it is "16S ribosomal RNA". It matches the Rfam family "Bacterial small subunit ribosomal RNA". The record is from RNAcentral.
CAUGCAAGUCGAGCGGAUGACGGAGCUUGCUCCUGAAUCAGCGGCGGACGGGUGAGUAAUGCCUAGGAAUCUGCCUGGUAGUGGGGGACAACGUUUCGAAAGGAACGCUAAUACCGCAUACGUCCUACGGGAGAAAGCAGGGGACCUUCGGGCCUUGCGCUAUCAGAUGAGCCUAGGUCGGAUUAGCUAGUUGGUGAGGUAAUGGCUCACCAAGGCGACGAUCCGUAACUGGUCUGAGAGGAUGAUCAGUCACACUGGAACUGAGACACGGUCCAGACUCCUACGGGAGGCAGCAGUGGGGAAUAUUGGACAAUGGGCGAAAGCCUGAUCCAGCCAUGCCGCGUGUGUGAAGAAGGUCUUCGGAUUGUAAAGCACUUUAAGUUGGGAGGAAGGGCAUUAACCUAAUACGUUAGUGUUUUGACGUUACCGACAGAAUAAGCACCGGCUAACUCUGUGCCAGCAGCCGCGGUAAUACAGAGGGUGCAAGCGUUAAUCGGAAUUACUGGGCGUAAAGCGCGCGUAGGUGGUUUGUUAAGUUGGAUGUGAAAGCCCCGGGCUCAACCUGGGAACUGCAUUCAAAACUGACAAGCUAGAGUAUGGUAGAGGGUGGUGGAAUUUCCUGUGUAGCGGUGAAAUGCGUAGAUAUAGGAAGGAACACCAGUGGCGAAGGCGACCACCUGGACUGAUACUGACACUGAAGUGCGAAAGCGUGGGGAGCAAACAGGAUUAGAUACCCCUGUAGUCCACGCCGUAAACGAUGUCAACUAGCCGUUGGGGAGCCUUGAGCUCUUAGUGCCGCAGCCUAACGCAUAAGUUGACCGCCUGGGGAGUACGGCCGCAAGGUUAAAACUCAAAUGAAUUGACGGGGGCCCGCACAAGCGGUGGAGCAUGUGGUUUAAUUCGAAGCAACGCGAAGAACCUUACCAGGCCUUGACAUCCAAUGAACUUUCCAGAGAUGGAUUGGUGCCUUCGGGAACAUUGAGACAGGUGCUGCAUGGCUGUCGUCAGCUCGUGUCGUGAGAUGUUGGGUUAAGUCCCGUAACGAGCGCAACCCUUGUCCUUAGUUACCAGCACGUCAUGGUGGGCACUCUAAGGAGACUGCCGGUGACAAACCGGAGGAAGGUGGGGAUGACGUCAAGUCAUCAUGGCCCUUACGGCCUGGGCUACACACGUGCUACAAUGGUCGGUACAGAGGGUUGCCAAGCCGCGAGGUGGAGCUAAUCCCACAAAACCGAUCGUAGUCCGGAUCGCAGUCUGCAACUCGACUGCGUGAAGUCGGAAUCGCUAGUAAUCGCGAAUCAGAAUGUCGCGGUGAAUACGUUCCCGGGCCUUGUACACACCGCCCGUCACACCAUGGGAGUGGGUUGCACCAGAAGUAGCUAGUCUAACCUUCGGGAGGACGGUUACCACGGUGGAUUCAUGANCGGGGUGAAGUCG